This 426-nucleotide ribosomal RNA is filed under the name uncultured bacterium. RNAcentral describes it as "partial 16S ribosomal RNA". It matches the Rfam family "Bacterial small subunit ribosomal RNA", at positions 354 to 796 of the family's 1533-position model. The record is from RNAcentral.
GUGAGGAAUUUUCCGCAAUGGGCGAAAGCCUGACGGAGCAAUGCCGCGUGAAGGAUGAAGGCCUAUGGGUUGUAAACUUCUUUUCUCAGAAAAGAAUUAUGACGGUAUCUGAGGAAUAAGCAUCGGCUAACUCUGUGCCAGCAGCCGCGGUAAGACAGAGGAUGCAAGCGUUAUCCGGAAUGAUUGGGCGUAAAGCGUCUGUAGGUUGUUUAAAAAGUAUUCUGUCAAAGAUUAGGGCUUAACCCUAGAUAGGCAGAAUAAACUUUUAAGCUAGAGUUUGGUAGAGGCAGAGGGAAUUCCCGGUGGAGCGGUGAAAUGCGUAGAUAUCGGGAGGAACUCCAAAGGCGAAGGCACUCUGCUGGGCCAAUACUAACACUGAGAGACGAAAGCGAGGGGAGCAAAUGGGAUUAGAAACCCCUGUAGUCC